This 419-nucleotide ribosomal RNA is filed under the name uncultured bacterium. RNAcentral's name for it is "bacterial SSU rRNA". It matches the Rfam family "Bacterial small subunit ribosomal RNA", at positions 43 to 476 of the family's 1533-position model. The record is from RNAcentral.
CAGGCCUAACACAUGCAAGUCGAACGAUGCUUUCGGGCAUAGUGGCGCACGGGUGCGUAACGCGUGGGAAUCUGCCCUUGGGUUCGGGAUAACCGUUGGAAACGACGGCUAAUACCGGAUGAUGACGUAAGUCCAAAGAUUUAUCGCCCAGGGAUGAGCCCGCGUAGGAUUAGCUUGUUGGUGAGGUUACGGCUCACCAAGGCGACGAUCGAUAGCUGGUCUGAGAGGAUGGCCAGCCACAUUGGGACUGAGACACGGCCCAAACUCCUACGGGAGGCAGCAGUGGGGAAUAUUGGACAAUGGGCGCAAGCCUGAUCCAGCAAUGCCGCGUGAGUGAUGAAGGCCUUCGGGUUGUAAAGCUCUUUUACCCGNGGAUGAUAAUGACAGGAGAUAAGAGAAUCGCCCACGUCCAUCAUGAU